UACGGAGGGGGCAAGCGUUGUUCGGAAUUACUGGGCGUAAAGGGUUCGUAGGUGGCUUGCUAAGUCAGACGUGAAAUCCCUCAGCUUAACUGGGGAACUGCGUCUGAUACUGGCGAGCUUGAGUGCAGGAGAGGAACGCGGAAUUCCAGGUGUAGCGGUGAAAUGCGUAGAUAUCUGGAGGAACACCGGUGGCGAAGGCGGCGUUCUGGACUGCAACUGACACUGAUGAACGAAAGCCAGGGGAGCAAACGGG
RNAcentral lists this ribosomal RNA (253 nucleotides) under uncultured bacterium. Its description in RNAcentral is "partial 16S ribosomal RNA". It matches the Rfam family "Bacterial small subunit ribosomal RNA", at positions 524 to 776 of the family's 1533-position model. The record is from RNAcentral.